UACGUAGGGGGCAAGCGUUGUCCGGAAUUAUUGGGCGUAAAGAGCGUGUAGGCGGUCCGGUAAGUCGGCUGUGAAAGUCCAGGGCUCAACCCUGGAAGGCCGGUGGAAACUGUCGGGCUAGAGUCCGGAAGAGGCGAGUGGAAUUCCCGGUGUAGCGGUGAAAUGCGCAGAUAUCGGGAGGAACACCAAUGGCGAAGGCAGCUCGCUGGGACGGUACUGACGCUGAGACGCGAAAGCGUGGGGAGCAAACAGG
RNAcentral lists this ribosomal RNA (253 nucleotides) under uncultured bacterium. RNAcentral's name for it is "partial 16S ribosomal RNA". It matches the Rfam family "Bacterial small subunit ribosomal RNA", at positions 524 to 776 of the family's 1533-position model. The record is from RNAcentral.